Molecule: transfer RNA, 78 nt
Filed under: Rickettsiales bacterium
Lineage: Bacteria; Pseudomonadati; Pseudomonadota; Alphaproteobacteria; Rickettsiales
Description: tRNA-Asp
Rfam family: tRNA
About the family: Transfer RNA (tRNA) molecules are approximately 80 nucleotides in length. Their secondary structure includes four short double-helical elements and three loops (D, anti-codon, and T loops). Further hydrogen bonds mediate the characteristic L-shaped molecular structure. tRNAs have two regions of fundamental functional importance: the anti-codon, which is responsible for specific mRNA codon recognition, and the 3' end, to which the tRNAs corresponding amino acid is attached (by aminoacyl-tRNA synthetases). tRNAs cope with the degeneracy of the genetic code in two manners: having more than one tRNA (with a specific anti-codon) for a particular amino acid; and 'wobble' base-pairing, i.e. permitting non-standard base-pairing at the 3rd anti-codon position.
Source: RNAcentral
GCGGAUGUAGCUCAGUUUGGUUAGAGCGCUUGCUUGUCACGCAAGAGGUCGCGAGUUCAAGUCUCGUCAUUCGCGCCA